CUCCGGAACCGCGCAGCUGGCUGUUGAGAUUACUCCUGGACGAUGACGUGGACGACGCACCCGACUGGUACUGGGCUGGCACAUCGCCGACCGUUUUAUUCGGUGGGGCUUUGACGUAGGUUCGCGGAAUUUCCGAUUGCUGAGGAGGAGAAAAAGAAAAGGAUUUUACAGUUCUCUUUUUCUGGAGACAAAAUUAUUUCAUGAGAAAAUAACAUACGAAUGGCAGUCAUUCGCAUAUUAUAUAUGCUAAGAAUGCAUGACAAACAGUGAUAAAAAUCAUUCUUUCAAUUUACGCAGCACCCUUCAGAUACAUAAGAUUUUUAUUCUCGUAACGAGCUGUCAUACUCCGAUGGAAUGUUUCAUGCACCUUGUUCACGGUCACGUAAUAAAAUUUAUUGUAAAAACAACGAAGUAAGCUUUACUGUUCCUUUGAUAAAGUGAAAAUGAAAAUCAUACAGCAAUCGUUAUCAUAAUGAAACACCAACAUUGGUCCAAGACCGAGCUUUCUGGAACCGGUUACUUUUGGGCUAAAGUACACAUGCCGAAUUAACAAGACUUACACAACAAAACUCAAAGUAAUCAAUUUUGAGCAAAUUUGUAACGGUGAAAUUCUAACGAAUACGUUUUCACGCAACUAACGGAUGACUUCACUUUCUUGUUUUAUAAAUAAUGGAAGAACUGAAAAAACGAAGGUAGAGAGAAUGAACAUUGCACGAUAGUGAAAUAUUUCGUUGCCAUCGUAAGACUAAUGUUUAUGGCGCUGAAAAGUUUCAGCCCUGAUGACAUAUGAACACUGGUUUGCAAUACACUGCGAUCAUCUUUUGUUGCUAGCCACGACUGCUGUACAUACGUUUUUUUUUCCUGUGUGAACUCAUGACUGCGACCAGAGACAUUAGAUCUCUGGUGCAGACCCAAUGAAUUAUUAUCUUGAGAGUCAGUAAGUACAGGGUGCGGCAGGAAAAGAUGCGAAAAUGUAUGGUAUUACUUCAAAUCCCAUUUUAACUACUUUAAAAAAUAAUAUCAAAAUUUUCGAGUUCGUAAUAUUUAUAUUAGGUUCUUUCAAAGCAAUCUACUUGAUGUAUCCUCCAUUUUUAGCAAUAACAUCCGUAAGGCAACGCCGGACACAGAGCAUGUCUGUCGAACGCAGUCCUCCGAUAUCGAUAACCACCUGCGUGUUAUGACAGGCUUCGAAGCCGUCAAACAAGGAUGAGAUGUUUUGAGGACUUGUGCUACAACAUACACCCAAAUUAAAUAAUCCUUGGAUCUCUUGGAAAGGGUCGCUCGUAGUUUUUUAUCCCCCUCCGUAAUGAAGUGGUGUUUGGUUCUAGCUUUGGAAGAUGCGUGAAGUCUGCUAUGAAGAUUCUUUAAAUCGAUUUUACAGAAAUAUUGGAUUCUUUGGCAAGUUUCCUGAUGAAACUGAGCAAUGAGCAAAUUGAUCACGUUUAGCGCAGGUACGUGCAAACCGCGGACCUAAAUAUUAAAGUUUACACAUUUUCGCGGUUUUUCCUGCCGCACCCUGUAUUUAAAUUGUUCUUGAUACAAUGCUCUGCUAUGGAUGAUGAGUGGAUUUGUGCAGCGAGGUUAGAAGCCGACAUGACAUUUGUGUCUAAGAGGUUAGAAACUGAGCUGGAGCAGUUCUACCGCACCAGUGAAACGCGGAUGUUCUAUGAGAGGGUAAACUAGUCUCGCAGAGACUAUGUGCUGCAAGCCUACAUGUGCAAUGACACGAAUGGGAAACUUCUCACGGAUGCCAGCUAGGUGGUGACAGGUGGAAGAAGUAUUUCGAUGGACUGAAUGGUGAUACAGUAAACAGAAGUGGAGCAGGCACAGACCUAGUAGCACCAGCAGCAGAUGAUCGAGUACCAGCCCCCGAUGUUCGUGAAGUUCUUUGUGAAAUCGGGAAGCUGAAGAACAACUAAGCCGCAGGCAAAGACGGACUGCCAAGCGAGCUCUUUAAACAUGGUAGAGUGGCGCUGGCUAGAGCGCUGCAAUGAGUCAUAUCCAGGAUUUGGGAGGAGGAAAAACUGUCAGGCGAGAGGAUGGAGGGAGUCGUCUGCCCCAUCUACAAUAGGGGCGACAAGCUGUAGUGCCGAAACUACCGCGGUAUCUCGCUUAUCAAUGCCGCCUACAAAAUAUUCUCACAGAUCCAGUUCCGUCGCCUAUCACCUUUAACCAGGAGAUUCAUGGGCCAAUACUAAGCGGGCUUCAUUCGAGCCCUUGCCACCACGAACCAUUUCUUUUCAAUCCGAAAGAUCUAUAGAAAUGUCGCGAGUACAAAAUGCCCACACAUCACAUCUUCAUCGACUUCACGGCGGUCUAUGAUACAGUCGAUCGAAAAUAGUAAUGGCAGAUCGUGCACGACAACGGAUUCCCGGAUAAACUGACUUGAUUAAUCAAAGCCACCAUGGCGUGUGUGGUUCGGGGAUACUCUCGAGCCCUUUUGAAUCGCGCAGAGAGUUAAUACAAGGUGAUGGACCUUCUUGAUUGCUAUUUAACUUCGCCCUUUAGAGUAUGAUCCGAAGGGCAGGCAUCGACACGAGGGGCACGAUUUUCAAAAGUUUCACUGGUGACCGCCGAAGAGACGAUGAUUUCGGCGAAAAAUUUGCUAGCUUGAAAAUCAGGUGCCCACUGCGCAGGAAAUAAACAUUACUAGGGUAUUUUGCCAAUUGUUGCACACCACCCAAUUAUUGCACACUUCACACUUUUUGUAACUAUUAUCGGCGGUUAAUUUGGUUAUAUGUUAUUUCUUUAUUAUAUCGCCCGCAGAAUUUUAUAACCCGUUGAAUAUUAUAAGUGUUUUUGUAAUUCAAAGUAAUUUUUUAAACUUUAUAAUGAUUUUUUUCACAGGUGUCCCAGUUUCGCUGUUGCGAAGCGAUUUUCUUAUCUUCAUACUUAAGAAAGUAGAUUUUUAUAAUAAGCGUUUAUCGAUCGUUAAAUACAAACACACAGGUUCGAUGGCUUCCAGAUAAUCGGUAAAGCUUAUCUUUUCUUAACAGCUCAUUAAAAAUCUGUCUAUAUGCUAGAAAAGAUAGAUAAAUUCACAAGUUUAAUAAUUGGAACGACGAACGACAGUUUUUCCAAUUUUAUUGCACACUCCUAACCUCUUUUUUCUGCAUCGGGCAUUUGACAGUUCGCUCCUCUGCGGUGUUGUUUUUGUUUAUCUAUGCAAGCGGUAGGAGCCGUAGCUUUUCGUACCGCAGUUUAUCCUGUUUUUCGCCGAUUCUCACGAGGUUACCAGGUCAAUAAUGGAUAUAAAGCGAAGCACCUUUCCGAUUCCGAAACCCAGCAUUUCAGCUCCCCUUCCAGUGAAAAGUUGUAAAAAGUACACGGAAGACUCUCUUCGACGGGCUGCUGUCGCCGUGAAAACCAGUGCAAUGACGUUGGGGCCGGCAUCCAAAUGCUUCGGAGUGCCGAAAUCUUUAAUUAGGUUUCGAUUGAGUCUAAAAUGAACUAGAAAAUUUCCGGUCUGCAAACUAUGCUCACGACUGAAGAGGAAUCGAAGCUUGUAACUUGGCUGCAGGAAAUGGAGCGUCGUGGUUAUCCCUGUACGAAGCAUACUCUUAUUUCGAGGGUUAAAGCCUUCUUGGACAAAAGCCCGCGUGACUCUUUGUUCAAAAAUAACACGCCAGCCAGCUUUUCGAACUCCGGAGAGUAUUUCUAUGUCCAGCGUGACCUUACGUGAAUUGGACCUUCGGAGCUGGUUUGAACACAUUCGCAAUUACGCGACGGAUCAUAAAAUCGAGGAUAUUUUCAAAGACCCGCGACGUGUUCUUAAUGGCGAUGAAACUUCGUUUGUUUUCGAUCCCAUCACAAAAGCUGUUGUUGCAUCCAAAGGAAAUCGGAAUGUUUAUUUGGUCCAGAAAGCAGAUCCCAAAAAGAACGUAACGGUAAAAAAAUCCAUGACGGACGAUUAGCAAGAGUGUCUGCUUACAAACGAAAACAUCAUCAUAUGAUUUUUUUUUUGCACUGGUUAUUUUGAUUGUCCAGAACAUUCACAAAAUAAAAAUGUG
Long non-coding RNA from Wyeomyia smithii (pitcher-plant mosquito), 4010 nucleotides. RefSeq lists it as uncharacterized. The transcript is spliced from 3 exons. NCBI's taxonomy places the organism in Eukaryota, Metazoa, Arthropoda, Insecta, Diptera, Culicidae. The record is from RefSeq and is a predicted model, not a curated record.